RNAcentral lists this ribosomal RNA (253 nucleotides) under uncultured bacterium. RNAcentral's name for it is "partial 16S ribosomal RNA". It matches the Rfam family "Bacterial small subunit ribosomal RNA", at positions 524 to 776 of the family's 1533-position model. The record is from RNAcentral.
UACGUAGGAGGCAAGCGUUGUCCGGAUUCACUGGGUGUAAAGGGUCCGCAGGCGGAUAAAUAAGUCGGUGGUGAAAUCCUUCAGCUUAACUGAAGAACUGCCUCCGAUACUGUUUAUCUUGAGUAUAGAAGAGGGCGAUGGAAUUCCAGGUGUAGCGGUGAAAUGCGUAGAUAUCUGGAAGAACACCGGUUGCGAAGGCUGUCGCCUGGUCUAUUACUGACGCUCAGGGACGAAAGCGUGGGGAUCAAACAGG